RNAcentral lists this transfer RNA (72 nucleotides) under Heterocephalus glaber (naked mole-rat). It matches the Rfam family "tRNA". From Rfam's summary of the family: Transfer RNA (tRNA) molecules are approximately 80 nucleotides in length. The record is from Rfam by way of RNAcentral. Lineage: Eukaryota; Metazoa; Chordata; Mammalia; Rodentia; Bathyergidae.
GGGGAUGUAGCUCAAUGGUAGAGCCCUUGCCUAGCAUGCAUGAAGCCCUAGGUUUGAUCCCCAGUACCCCCC